Molecule: long non-coding RNA, 693 nt
Organism: Neofelis nebulosa (Clouded leopard)
Lineage: Eukaryota; Metazoa; Chordata; Mammalia; Carnivora; Felidae
Exons: 4
Source: RefSeq, a predicted model, not a curated record
GGAAUCCGGGCGGCCGCGGGCAGUGCCGAGCGCCCGGCUCCGCCCCGCUGCCGCCGUCCAAUCGCCCGCGGCUGAGGGCUGGAUCUGAGACGCGCUGGCGGCGGGGAAGUUGGCUGCGGUGGGGUUCCUGGGCUGCGGGCUGGUGCUGUCGGGGUAGCUGCCCCGCGACCCGGGCGCCUCGGGAGGGAAGUGGCGGCCCCGGAAGGCCCCUGCCUUAGAGAGGUCUGGGGCCGUCCAGAGCCCCAAGAGCCGCAGCGUGUCGGCGCGCUAUGAAGCGAGAAGCCCAGCCGCAGCGCGGACCGACUCCGGAUUGACAACGCCCACACCUGGUGUCCGCGGGAGGCGCCGAACUUGGCGUCCCCAAAGGAGCCCCAGCGAGGAAACCGAGACCCAAAGAGGGAUGAAGAAGUUUGUGGAAUGGCUUGGGAAUGAGAAGACUGAGUUGAGGCCAUGGAAGCUGUGCUGGUCCUUUUGUGGAUGUCAUUGGUUUAUUCUUCAUAGCACACCUGGGGAGUAUAUCCAUGCUGUUAUCCUCUGUUCACAGCUGAGGCAACUGAGACUGAAGGCAAAGUGUUUUGUCCAAGCGCACAACAGGGGCAGGAGGAAAAAUCCACAAUGCAUACAUCUGGGGACUUUCCAUAUUGAUGGAAGAAAGUGUUCAGGAUACCUAAGUGAAUCCCAUUGAAGGCAUGU